UGCAAGAGAGAGAGAGUAGCAAACAGGCAAGUGCGUCGGUGUCCAGAAAGGGAAACCAAGGGGCAGUUUUGCUCCGUGAAUGAUGAAAGCGAUCUAACACUUAACGGUACAAUUAUCUCUAAUUAUGUGUGAAAAAUAGCAGCAACCCAACACCCUACAGUCAAGUCUCCGUCGCAGUCAUUGGCCCUUCUCCUCUUGGCAUCAGUCAGGCCACACAACUUUAACAGUCCCUCUCGUCAUAAUAGCCGUGUCUGACUGCUUUUGGCCAAGAGAACUGAUUCCAAGGACAUGAAAGAUUGUGACUAUUCAUCACCAUCCUGUGGCAUUUCCAAGGCACAAAAACAAUUUCCAUUUUUCAUACCCGAAUUACUUCUCUACUCUCUCUUCUUUUGAUGGUGAAACUGAAGCUUACAGUUCACUUUUUUGGCUAUAUCUUGUAUCGUGCUUGUUCCCUGUAAGGCAUUACUCAAUUUGGGAACUAGAGAAUUAGUCUCGAAACAGUUUUUUCA
Long non-coding RNA from Populus trichocarpa (black cottonwood), 509 nucleotides. RefSeq lists it as uncharacterized. The transcript is spliced from 2 exons. Lineage: Eukaryota; Viridiplantae; Streptophyta; Magnoliopsida; Malpighiales; Salicaceae. The record is from RefSeq and is a predicted model, not a curated record.